RNAcentral lists this ribosomal RNA (482 nucleotides) under uncultured bacterium. RNAcentral's name for it is "partial 16S ribosomal RNA". It matches the Rfam family "Bacterial small subunit ribosomal RNA", at positions 28 to 507 of the family's 1533-position model. The record is from RNAcentral.
GACGAACGCUGGCGGCGUGCUUAACACAUGCAAGUCGAACGCUGAAGCUCAGCUUGCUGGGUGGAUGAGUGGCGAACGGGUGAGUAACACGUGAGUAACCUGCCCUCUUCUUUGGGAUAACGCCCGGAAACGGGUGCUAAUACUGGAUAUUCACUGAUUCUCGCAUGGGGGUUGGUGGAAAGGUUUUUUCUGGUGGGGGAUGGGCUCGCGGCCUAUCAGCUUGUUGGUGGGGUGAUGGCCUACCAAGGCUUUGACGGGUAGCCGGCCUGAGAGGGUGACCGGUCACAUUGGGACGGAGAUACGGGCCAGACUCCUACGGGAGGCAGCAGUGGGGAAUAUUGCACAAUGGGCGAAAGCCUGAUGCAGCGACGCCGCGUGAGGGAUGGAGGCCUUCGGGUUGUAAACCUCGUUCGCUCAUGGUCAAGCCGCAGCUUUGGGUUGUGGUGAGGGUAGUGGGUAAAGAAGCGCCGGCUAACUACGUG